Molecule: ribosomal RNA, 252 nt
Filed under: uncultured bacterium
Lineage: Bacteria
Description: partial 16S ribosomal RNA
Rfam family: Bacterial small subunit ribosomal RNA
Source: RNAcentral
ACGAAGGGUGCAAGCGUUGUUCGGAUUUAUUGGGCGUAAAGCGCGCGCAGGCGGAUUUUCAAGUCAGAUGUGAAAUCUCGGGGCUCAACCCCGAAACUGCGUCUGAAACUGUUAAUCUAGAGUCUCGGAGAGGGAAGGGGAAUAUCGCAUGUAGGGGUAAAAUCCGUAGAGAUGCGAUGGAACAUCAGAGGCGAAGGCGCCUUCCUGGACGAGUACUGACGCUGAGGCGCGAAAGCGUGGGGAGCAAACAGG